CCCCAUCCCCUCAAUCUUCCAGGGCUGCUCCUGGCAUCCAGAAGACCUGCCCACACAGGAAAGAAUAGGGUUUUACACCCUUUUUAACUACGGACCAAUUUGUGUCCCUUUGGAAAUACUAUGACACCAGCUGGAGAUGCAUGCCACACAAGAAAGAAAAAUGUCUGUCCCUUGUGGAAGAAAAUUGGAUGACAUCUGUCCCACAAGAGAAAGGCACACUUUCUCACAACUCAUACGAUGAACCAAAGAAUGGAAAUUGAUGCAUGAAGCCACAUAUGCAACUUAAGGUCUCCUCCUGCUGCUAUGUCCUACUCCACAAGUUGACCAUUCAGGACACAGACCUGAACCUGCAAGUUCCUGCUUCUAACCCAGUGUGGACCUUCUCCUCGGAGUGGAGAAAAUAAACAUACUAUGAACAGGAUCAGUGAUAGAAUCUGCUGUAUCUCAACUCCAAAUCACCACAUCACUUCUGUGACUUACUGAGAACCAGUGACCUCACAGGAGUCUGGAUUUAAAAAGAUUGUCUAUGAAGUCUGGCAAGAAGUGUUUUUCUACUGGUAAUCAGGUUUGAAGAAAAAGUGCUGCCAGGUGGCUCAUCUCAAGAUUAAAUGGAUCAGGG
This is a long non-coding RNA of Mesocricetus auratus (golden hamster), 619 nucleotides long. RefSeq lists it as uncharacterized. The record is from RefSeq and is a predicted model, not a curated record. NCBI's taxonomy places the organism in Eukaryota, Metazoa, Chordata, Mammalia, Rodentia, Cricetidae. The transcript is spliced from 4 exons.